ACACUCCUACGGGAGGCAGCAGUGGGGAAUCUUGCGCAAUGGGCGAAAGCCUGACGCAGCCAUGCCGCGUGAAUGAUGAAGGUCUUAGGAUUGUAAAAUUCUUUCACCGGGGACGAUAAUGACGGUACCCGGAGAAGAAGCCCCGGCUAACUUCGUGCCAGCAGCCGCGGUAAUACGAAGGAGGCUAGCGUUGCUCGGAAUUACUGGGCGUAAAGGGAGCGUAGGCGGACAUUUAAGUCAGGGGUGAAAUCCCGGGGCUCAACCUCGGAAUUGCCUUUGAUACUGGGUGUCUUGAGUAUGAGAGAGGUGUGUGGAACUCCGAGUGUAGAGGUGAAAUUCGUAGAUAUUCGGAAGAACACCAGUGGCGAAGGCGACACACUGGCUCAUUACUGACGCUGAGGCUCGAAAGCGUGGGGAGCAAACAGGAUUAGAAACCCUGGUAGUCCC
This 447-nucleotide ribosomal RNA is filed under the name uncultured organism. RNAcentral describes it as "partial 16S ribosomal RNA". It matches the Rfam family "Bacterial small subunit ribosomal RNA", at positions 333 to 797 of the family's 1533-position model. The record is from RNAcentral.